Molecule: ribosomal RNA, 126 nt
Filed under: Salmonella enterica
Lineage: Bacteria; Pseudomonadati; Pseudomonadota; Gammaproteobacteria; Enterobacterales; Enterobacteriaceae
Description: partial 23S ribosomal RNA
Source: RNAcentral
UGAGUUCUCCCUGAGACUUWRRGUCUCCUGAAGGAACGUUGAAGACGACGACGUUGAUAGGCCGGGUGUGUAAGCGCAGCGAUGCGUUGAGCUAACCGGUACUAAUGAACCGUGAGGCUUAACCUU